GUCGGGGUACUCCGGCAGGGUGCGGUAGGCGGCCGCGGCGGCGGACAGGUAGUCGAUGCUCUCGUGGUCGUAGCCGCGGGCCUCGAUGC
This 89-nucleotide transfer RNA is filed under the name Paractinoplanes tereljensis. RNAcentral describes it as "Actinoplanes tereljensis tRNA-Ala". Lineage: Bacteria; Bacillati; Actinomycetota; Actinomycetes; Micromonosporales; Micromonosporaceae. The record is from RNAcentral.